RNAcentral lists this ribosomal RNA (472 nucleotides) under uncultured bacterium. RNAcentral describes it as "bacterial SSU rRNA". It matches the Rfam family "Bacterial small subunit ribosomal RNA", at positions 355 to 825 of the family's 1533-position model. The record is from RNAcentral.
UGGGGAAUAUUGGACAAUGGGGGAAACCCUGAUCCAGCGACGCCGCGUGUGUGAAGAAGGCCUGCGGGUUGUAAAGCACUUUCGGUGGGAACGAAAUGUGCCGGGCUAAUAUCCCGGCAAGCUGACGUUACUCAAUGAAGAAGCACCGGCUAACUCUGUGCCAGCAGCCGCGGUAAUACAGAGGGUGCGAGCGUUAAUCGGAAUUACUGGGCGUAAAGCGUGCGCAGGCGGCUCCUUAAGUCAGAUGUGAAAUCCCCGGGCUCAACCUGGAAAUUGCAUUUGAGACUGCACGGCUAGAGUGUGUCAGAGGGGGGUAGAAGUCCACGUGUAGCAGUGAAAUGCGUAGAUAUGUGGAGGAACACCGAUGGCGAAGGCAGCCCCCUGGGUUAACACUGACGCUCAUGCACGAAAGCGUGGGGAGCAAACAGGAUUAGAUACCCACGUAGUCCCUGAGCGGGCUGGCAAGGCGCAU